CCUACGGGUGGCAGCAGUGAGGAAUAUUGGUCAAUGGCCGAGAGGCUGAACCAGCCAAGUCGCGUGAGGGAAUAAUGUCCUAUGGAUUGUAAACCUCUUUUGUCAGGGAGCAAAGUCACCCACGUGUGGGUGUUGGAGAGUACCUGAAGAAAAAGCAUCGGCUAACUCCGUGCCAGCAGCCGCGGUAAUACGGAGGAUGCGAGCGUUAUCCGGAGUUAUUGGGUUUAAAGGUUGCGUAGGCGGGUUAUCAAGUCAGCGGUACAAUCGUGGAGCUCAACACCAUCCAGCCGUUGAAACUUGUGAUCGUGAGUGGGCGAGAAGUAUGCGGAAGGCGUGGUGUAGCGGUGAAAGGCAUAGAUAUCACGCAGAACUCCGAUUGCGAAGGCAGCAUACCGGCGCCCGACUGACGCUGAGGCACGAAAGCGUGGGUAUCGAACAGGAUUAGAUACCCCUGUAGUC
RNAcentral lists this ribosomal RNA (459 nucleotides) under uncultured bacterium. RNAcentral's name for it is "partial 16S ribosomal RNA". It matches the Rfam family "Bacterial small subunit ribosomal RNA", at positions 338 to 795 of the family's 1533-position model. The record is from RNAcentral.